AGUCACUGACAUUAGAUACCCGUGUAGUCCAGGGUGUAAACGCUGCAGACUUGGUGUUGGAAAUCCUUCGAGGGUAUUCAGUGCCGGAGAGAAGUUGUUAAAGUCUGCUACUUGGGGAGUACGUCCGCAAGGACUGAAACUUUAAAGGAAUUGGCGGGGGAGCACAACAACGGGUGGAGCUUGCGGUUUAAUUGGAUUCAACGCCGGAAAUCUUACCGGGACCGACAGCAACAUGAAGGCCAAGCUGAAGACUUUGCCGGAUUAGCUG
RNAcentral lists this ribosomal RNA (268 nucleotides) under uncultured archaeon. RNAcentral describes it as "partial 16S ribosomal RNA". It matches the Rfam family "Archaeal small subunit ribosomal RNA", at positions 717 to 982 of the family's 1478-position model. The record is from RNAcentral.